GACGAACGCUGGCGGCGUGCUUAACACAUGCAAGUCGAGCGGUAAGGCCCCUUCGGGGGUACACGAGCGGCGAACGGGUGAGUAACACGUGGGUGACCUGCCCUCAGCUCUGGGAUAAGCCUGGGAAACUGGGUCUAAUACUGGAUAUGACUCCACGGUGCAUGUCGUGGGGUGGAAAGCCUUGUGCGGCUGAGGAUGGGCCCGCGGCCUAUCAGCUUGUUGGUGGGGGAUGGCCUACCAAGGCGACGACGGGUAGCCGGCCUGAGAGGGCGACCGGCCACACUGGGACUGAGACACGGCCCAGACUCCUACGGGAGGCAGCAGUGGGGAAUCUUGCGCAAUGGGCGAAAGCCUGACGCAGCGACGCCGCGUGAGGGAUGACGGCCU
RNAcentral lists this ribosomal RNA (387 nucleotides) under uncultured bacterium. Its description in RNAcentral is "bacterial SSU rRNA". It matches the Rfam family "Bacterial small subunit ribosomal RNA", at positions 28 to 417 of the family's 1533-position model. The record is from RNAcentral.